RNAcentral lists this long non-coding RNA (526 nucleotides) under Homo sapiens (human). RNAcentral describes it as "non-protein coding lnc-RBM4B-1:1". The record is from RNAcentral. Lineage: Eukaryota; Metazoa; Chordata; Mammalia; Primates; Hominidae.
GCCGGGGCCUGUGGACUCUGGGUGGAGGAGAAGGAGCAGUGGCUCAACGGGCUGGCCCUGCCUGAACGCCUGGAGGACCUGGAGGUCGUGCAGCAGAGUUCGAGACCCUGGAGCCUGAAAUGAACACCCUUGCAGCACAAAUCACCGCGGUGAAUGACAUUGCCGAGCAGUUACUGAAGGCCAACCCCCCAGGCAAAGACCGCAUUGUCAACACCCAGGAGCAGCUCAACCACAGUGGCAGCAGUUUCGGCGUCUGGCAGACGGCAAGAAGGCAGCUCUCACCUCAGCCCUGAGCAUCCAGAACUACCACUUAGAGUGCACGGAGACCCAGGCCUGGAUGAGAGAGAAGACCAAAGUCAUCGAGUCCACCCAGGGCCUAGGCAACGAUCUGGCUGGGGUGCUGGCCCUGCAGCGCAAGCUGGCCGGCACGGAGCGGGACCUGGAGGCCAUCGCCGCCCGGGUGGGCGAACUGACUCGAGAGGCAAAUGCCCUGGCUGCCGGCCAUCCCGCUCAGGCAGUGGCCAUC